AGUGAACGCUGGCGGUAGGCCUAACACAUGCAAGUCGAACGGCAGCACAGUAAGAGCUUGCUCUUACGGGUGGCGAGUGGCGGACGGGUGAGGAAUACAUCGGAAUCUACUUUUUCGUGGGGGAUAACGUAGGGAAACUUACGCUAAUACCGCAUACGACCUACGGGUGAAAGCAGGGGAUCUUCGGACCUUGCGCGAUUGAAUGAGCCGAUGUCGGAUUAGCUAGUUGGCGGGGUAAAGGCCCACCAAGGCGACGAUCCGUAGCUGGUCUGAGAGGAUGAUCGGCCACACUGGAACUGGGACACGGUCCAGACUCCUACGAGAGGCAGCAGUGGGGAAUAUUGGACAAUGGGCGCGAGCCUGAUCCAGCCAUACCGCGUGGGUGAAGAAAGCCUUCGGGUUGUAAAGCCCUUUUGUUGGGAAAGAAAAGCAGCAGGUUAAUACCCCGCUGUUCUGACGGUACCCAAAGAAUAAGCACCGGCUAACUUCGUG
RNAcentral lists this ribosomal RNA (492 nucleotides) under uncultured bacterium. RNAcentral describes it as "partial 16S ribosomal RNA". It matches the Rfam family "Bacterial small subunit ribosomal RNA", at positions 29 to 507 of the family's 1533-position model. The record is from RNAcentral.